Molecule: ribosomal RNA, 671 nt
Filed under: Lonchopria sp. NML-2007
Lineage: Eukaryota; Metazoa; Arthropoda; Insecta; Hymenoptera; Colletidae
Description: eukaryotic LSU rRNA
Rfam family: Eukaryotic large subunit ribosomal RNA
Source: RNAcentral
CCUGAGAAACCCAAAAGAUCGAACGGGGAGAUUCAUCGUCAACGAAGCUGGCUCCCGUUGGUGCGCGAUACCCCGAAUGGACCUUAACCGGUUCCAAGGCGUGGGCACACCACCUUCGGUGAACGUUCCGGCGACCGUAGUCGUGCACUUCUCCCUUAGUAGAACGUCGCGACCCGUUGUAUGUCGGUCUACGGCCUGAGCUACUUUGCCUGUCGCGGCGCAUUUAUUACGCUCGCGGCAGAGGCUCGGUCGCCUGACCGGCUGUACGACGGUACUCUGACGGUAUCGGGCCGCAACCAAAUCCAUUCUCGAAUGUAUGUGCGUCAGGACCCGCGGCAAGCUCGGACAGAUUAACCCGGCGUGGUGCGGACCUAGUGUCCCCCCCGGGUCUGACCAGCUGUUGGCAUGCGGUGUUCUUGGACUUGGCCAAGCUUUGAAUUACCGGUCGGCGACGCUACUGCUUUGGGUACUCUCAGGACCCGUCUUGAAACACGGACCAAGGAGUCUAACAUGUGCGCGAGUCAUUGGGAAUAUGUAAACCUAAAGGCGAAAUGAAAGUGAAAGCGGCUUUGCGUCGUCCAAGGGAGGAUGGGCCGCUUACGUCCCGGCCCCGCACUCCCGGGGCGUCUCGUUCUCAUUGUGAGGAGAGGCGCACCCAGAGCGUACACGUU